GUAGGGUAACCUGCGGAGGGAUCAUUACAAGAACGCCCGGGCUUCGGCCUGGUUAUUCAUAACCCUUUGUUGUCCGACUCUGUUGCCUCCGGGGCGACCCUGCCUUCGGGCGGGGGCUCCGGGUGGACACUUCAAACUCUUGCGUAACUUUGCAGUCUGAGUAAACUUAAUUAAUAAAUUAAAACUUUUAACAACGGAUCUCUUGGUUCUGGCAUCGAUGAAGAACGCAGCGAAAUGCGAUAAGUAAUGUGAAUUGCAGAAUUCAGUGAAUCAUCGAAUCUUUGAACGCACAUUGCGCCCCCUGGUAUUCCGGGGGGCAUGCCUGUUCGAGCGUCAUUUCACCACUCAAGCCUCGCUUGGUAUUGGGCAACGCGGUCCGCCGCGUGCCUCAAAUCGUCCGGCUGGGUCUUCUGUCCCCUAAGCGUUGUGGAAACUAUUCGCUAAAGGGUGUUCGGGAGGCUACGCCGUAAAACAACCCCAUUUCUAAGGUUGACCUCGGAUCAGGUAGGGAUACCCGCUGAACUUAAGCAUAUCAAUAA
RNAcentral lists this ribosomal RNA (539 nucleotides) under Cladosporium sp. B1-3 MH-2014. Its description in RNAcentral is "eukaryotic LSU rRNA". The stretch from base 183 to 336 matches the Rfam family "5.8S ribosomal RNA". The record is from RNAcentral. Lineage: Eukaryota; Fungi; Ascomycota; Dothideomycetes; Cladosporiales; Cladosporiaceae.